CGCAGAGGACCCAUCUCGAAACGUGGGAAACCAGCGCUGCUAUUUUUAGGAAAAGGAUGGAGAAUGGAGGAUGGACCAGCCCAGGAGAAGGCACAGCCAUCAGCCACUUCAUCCAGUAGCUGAGCCACUCACGGCCCCGUCUGCGAUGAAGACAGAAGGCCCCAUCAGAGAAGCUACGCACCUCACCGAGGUGCCCCCUGCCCCCGCGAUCCACACUGCCAAACAAAUACAGACAUCUACUGUCGUUUUUAAAUAAGGCUCAGCUUCUGUCCCUGGGCCCUGCCCUGGUCCUCUGCAGAAUCAUCUACUUGCAUCCGAAGCAGUUCCUACGAAGGGGUAACGUACAUGUUAUUUGCAUGUGCUUCCUCUCUGGUCUCUUCUGCCUGGUCCCAUUAUGGCUCCAGGACACACACUGGACAUGGGCAGGGGGAGGGGGACUUGGGUGAGGAUGGGAGUCUGUGAAGGGAGGGAGGGCUGUCCAUGACACGAUGGUGAUGAGCUCCUGUCUGUCGGGUGAGCCUGGGCUCCAAUGCAAGUGAGGUAAAAGCCAGAUCACUUUCCCAUGGUAGACAAGCCCUGCCAGCCCUUGAACCCUUGCUUUCACCGCAGGAGGCUUGGACGCCUUCUUGAGGACACUAUCAAAAAUUCUUCUCACCCAGACUGAGCUCCUCUAGACCUAAAAGACAUGUAUUUCUCCUCUUUCUGUUGGACAGGCCGAAAUUAAUCCUAAGGGAGAAGGACAUUGUCCAGAGGGUAUUUGCAAGUCACCUCUCAGCAGGACAUUGCUUUCGGCUAGUCUGAAUCUGUGCCUAAGGUGACAGUGAGAGAAGCCAUCUGAGCUCACUUUCCCCUCUUAGGAUGGAAGAACUGAGUGGCUGAGCCUCAGCAGGUGCCUCGGGUGCCAGGGAACAAACCAGUCAAGAGCACAGGCUCCAGAGUCCAGCUGCCUAGGUCCAAAUCCUGGCUAGGAUAUUACAUGUUGUAUGGCACAGCUAUUGCUGUGUAACAAAUUCCCCCUGAACACAGCAGCUUAAACACUUCUUCUCUGAUUGGUUUUGUGAGUCUGGGACCUGCCUGGCCAGAUCCUCUGAAUCAGCAUCUCUCACAAGGUGACAAUCAAGGUGUGCCCAACAAGGUGGUGUGGUCACCUCAGGGCCCCACUGGAGAAUAAUUUGCCUCCAAACUCACUCCCAGGAGUGUUGGCAGGUUGCAGUUCCUCAGGGGCUGUUGACCAGAGGCCGCCCUCAAUUCCCUAA
RNAcentral lists this long non-coding RNA (1256 nucleotides) under Sus scrofa (pig). Its description in RNAcentral is "lncRNA (ENSSSCG00030036851.1)". The record is from RNAcentral. Lineage: Eukaryota; Metazoa; Chordata; Mammalia; Artiodactyla; Suidae.